CGAGUGGCGGACGGGUGAGUAAUGUCUGGGAAACUGCCCGAUGGAGGGGGAUAACUACUGGAAACGGUAGCUAAUACCGCAUAACGUCGCAAGACCAAAGAGGGGGACCUUCGGGCCUCUUGCCAUCGGAUGUGCCCAGAUGGGAUUAGCUAGUAGGUGGGGUAAAGGCUCACCUAGGCGACGAUCCCUAGCUGGUCUGAGAGGAUGACCAGCCACACUGGAACUGAGACACGGUCCAGACUCCUACGGGAGGCAGCAUG
This 260-nucleotide ribosomal RNA is filed under the name uncultured bacterium. Its description in RNAcentral is "partial 16S ribosomal RNA". It matches the Rfam family "Bacterial small subunit ribosomal RNA", at positions 92 to 353 of the family's 1533-position model. The record is from RNAcentral.